This 312-nucleotide ribosomal RNA is filed under the name Triticum aestivum (bread wheat). Its description in RNAcentral is "partial small subunit ribosomal RNA". The record is from RNAcentral. Lineage: Eukaryota; Viridiplantae; Streptophyta; Magnoliopsida; Poales; Poaceae.
AAGAAGACUUUCUGCCUCCAGUCUGACAUCCAGAAGAGGAUGUAUGAGGCCCAUGUCAAUGAGAAGCAUGCCCGGCGUCGUCAAAUUGCAAUGAUGAAGCACCUCAAUAUGCCGGUUCAGGGUGGCUCUGAGAAGAGCAUCACACCGGAGGAGCGUUGGAUAUCUACCCACAGCACCUGGACUGAUGAUGAAGCUCCUCACCAGCCCUCCACCUCCUUUGCUGCAGCUGACGAUACCAUGGAGGAAUCCGAUCACGACGAUGAUGACGAGUCUGCUGAUGAGGAUCCAGAUGCGACCGAGGAGUCAGAGGAG